GACGAACCGUGCGAACGUUAUUCGGAAUCACUGGGCUUAAAGCGCGUGUAGGCGGGCCGGCACGUCGAUGGCUGAAAUCCCCCGGCUCAACCGGGGAAGUGGCCUCGAUACGACCGGCCUGGAGGGGGGUAGGGGGCGCCGGAACUUCCGGUGGAGCGGUGAAAUGCGUUGAGAUCGGAAGGAACGCCCGUGGCGAAAGCGGGCGCCUGGACCCCACCUGACGCUGAGACGCGAAAGCCAGGGGAGCGAACGGG
RNAcentral lists this ribosomal RNA (254 nucleotides) under uncultured bacterium. RNAcentral's name for it is "partial 16S ribosomal RNA". It matches the Rfam family "Bacterial small subunit ribosomal RNA", at positions 524 to 776 of the family's 1533-position model. The record is from RNAcentral. RNAcentral also lists the same sequence under 1 other name.